CGUGUAGGCGGUCAGGUAAGUGGAAUGUGAAAUGCCCCGGCUCACCCGGGGACCGGGCAUCCCAAACUGCCUGGCUUGAGUAUGGGAGAGGAUGGAGGAAUUCCUGGUGUAGCGGGUGAAAUGCGUAGAUAUCAGGAGGAACACCGGUGGCGAAGGCGUCCAUCUGGCCCAAUACUGACGCUGAGGCGCGAAAGCUAGGGGAGCAAACG
RNAcentral lists this ribosomal RNA (209 nucleotides) under uncultured Latescibacterota bacterium. RNAcentral describes it as "uncultured Latescibacteria bacterium partial 16S ribosomal RNA". It matches the Rfam family "Bacterial small subunit ribosomal RNA", at positions 568 to 774 of the family's 1533-position model. The record is from RNAcentral. Lineage: Bacteria; Pseudomonadati; Candidatus Latescibacterota.